This 386-nucleotide RNase P RNA is filed under the name Ponticaulis sp. RNAcentral describes it as "RNase P RNA component class A". It matches the Rfam family "Bacterial RNase P class A". From Rfam's summary of the family: Ribonuclease P (RNase P) is a ubiquitous endoribonuclease, found in archaea, bacteria and eukarya as well as chloroplasts and mitochondria. Its best characterised activity is the generation of mature 5'-ends of tRNAs by cleaving the 5'-leader elements of precursor-tRNAs. The record is from RNAcentral. Lineage: Bacteria; Pseudomonadati; Pseudomonadota; Alphaproteobacteria; Hyphomonadales; Hyphomonadaceae.
UCAGAUGGCCGGGCGGCUGCUGGUCAGGUCGUAAGGCCUGGCUGGAGGAAAGUCCGGGCUCCAUGAAGACAAGGCGGCGGGUAACACCCGCCCGGCGUGAGCCGAGGGAUAGUGCCACAGAAAGCAAACCGCCCGCCUAUGCAGGUUCGCCUGUUUCGGCGCGGUAAGGGUGAAAGGGUGCGGUAAGAGCGCACCGCGGGACUGGCGACAGAACCGGCACGGUAAACCCCGCCUGGAGCAAGACCAAAUAGGGAAGGCACAGGGUGCGUCUGCACACCGUCUUCCGGGUCGGUCGCGUGAGGUGAUGAGCAAUCAUCAUCCCAGAGGAAUGGUCGCCACUCCAAUUUAUUGGAGGACAGAACCCGGCUUACAGGCCAUCUGAUCCC